This 389-nucleotide ribosomal RNA is filed under the name uncultured bacterium. RNAcentral's name for it is "bacterial SSU rRNA". It matches the Rfam family "Bacterial small subunit ribosomal RNA", at positions 28 to 417 of the family's 1533-position model. The record is from RNAcentral.
GACGAACGCUGGCGGCGUGCUUAACACAUGCAAGUCGAGCGGUAAGGCCCUUUCGGGGGUACGACGAGCGGCGAACGGGUGAGUAACACGUGGGUGACCUGCCCUCAGCUCUGGGAUAAGCCUGGGAAACCGGGUCUAAUACCGGAUAUGACUCCAUGACGCAUGUUGUGGGGUGGAAAGCCUUGUGCGGCUGAGGAUGGGCCCGCGGCCUAUCAGCUUGUUGGUGGGGUGAUGGCCUACCAAGGCGACGACGGGUAGCCGGCCUGAGAGGGCGACCGGCCACACUGGGACUGAGACACGGCCCAGACUCCUACGGGAGGCAACAGUGGGGAAUCUUGCGCAAUGGGCGAAAGCCUGACGCAGCGACGCCGCGUGAGGGAUGACGGCCU